UAGCUACGGGAACUCUGUCGGCAUAGUCCUUACAGGGUUGCCCAAGAGACCUGUCGGCAUAGUCCCACAGGAGUUGUCCAGUCUUCGGAGCACGUCAGAAGAAUUGUCUAGCUACGGGAACUCUGUCGGCAUAGUCCUAACAGGGUUGCCCAAGAGACCUGUCGGCAUAGUCCCACAGGAGUUGUCCAGUCGCCGGUUUCCUUCUGGUAACACCCAGAGGAACCAGUUUAGUCAUGGCGACUCCUCGGUAAACCGCCAGAGCGGUGCGUGCGGUUACGGAGUCGCCGCGUGUGUACGCCGGAAGAUCUCGGAGGACGGAUCUAGGGGACCUUUCAGGCGUGGCUCUGAAGGGUGGCGACCCUCAAGUUCUCGCCGUUGGGAGCGGUCCCAGCGGUGUAAAUUAGGUAAGUGUCUGAGCGAGCGUGGGGGCCUGAGGUUAUUAUCUUAAUAAAAGGGCGGGGUGGGUAACUUUAAUAGUUCUCUGUUGUUCUUGUUUUAUUUUAGUUGUGUUUCGCUCCAUUUAGUGUCAGUGAAGUGUAAAUUUGUUAUGUGUCAAACAAUUAUGUUGAUAGAAUCGAUGUGUUUGAUUAACCAGGCACGUGUCCACUUAUUCGAUUAGUCCCUUAUUGGCCUCGCCCACCAGUCCAUUGUUUGGUUACUAUUUAGUAACUUUGAAUACAUUAUUUGACUGGUUACUUUUGGUCUCCGUGACAACGCAGGGUUGAUUUCACUGUCAUGACAUCCGGCAACUGAUACCGUUUUUCAUUUUUCUGUUCAUGUUUCCCUGAGUGGGAGUGGAGAUGUUUGGGUUGGUAUUGCCACCCGUAAAUAUAUAUAAAAACACUAUAAUUGUUGUAGUGUUGUUGUAAAAUAGUAGAAAUGCAAGCAUUAUAGACAUAUUAACAUUUAUAUUAAUUAUUUUUAUUAUUUCGUACUUGUACUGAUGGUGUGUUUUCACGCGAGUGUAAUACGCCUGAUGUCGUAAUGGGUACACGUCGCCUCGCUGAAUACUGGGGGGUAGUUGGCGGCAGGGCGAGGCAUUUAGAAUACUCUUAUCAGAUCCAGCUGUGAGCUCUUUCAGCCCACUUUUAUUUAUAUUUCUCUGAAUAACCACUCAUGGACAUGUCAUCAUUGUAUAUUAUGCCAUUAGAAGAUGUAAAUUGUUGCAUGUCAGGAAAUGUGGGGAAUUAUUGCAUGUCAGGAACCGUGUGAAACUGUUGCAUGUCACCCAACGUGGUGGUAAAUAUUAUUUAGAUAAGUUUUUUAGUGAAAUUUUAGUGUAACUGUUCACAGCUGAAGGCUGUCCAUGGCUAAAGCUUUGUGGAUUUACUGGCUGGGCGAGCCCAUUAAUCUCUCGGCAUGAGACUGUGAACGGCAAAAUAAAUCAAUACUUAACUGUUAGCGUUUAUUUCAGACCAGGGAUCACUGACAUUUUAUGGAGGGUAUUACACUUUAAUUGGGGUAUGCAUGCAUAUUAAAAUAUGCUUGGUGGUCGUACGAAAACCGGCCAAUGGGUAAAAUUAGUUGUGGUCUAUCUAGGGUUGAGGCCCCCAUUCUGCGCACGUUGUGGCGGGCCUGUAGUUUUGAAACAAUUAGGUCGUCCCGACUUUGGGGAGUCCGAGCACGGUCAUAGAUCCGCUAGGUCGCUGCGUCUAGGCGUACAUCGCAUGGCGAAGGCGCCCUCCUUGCUUACGAAUGGGGCAUUGGGGUCCGAGAGAUAGUCAAUAUACUUCCUUGGGGUGCAUGGGACGGCUUGGGGGCAGCGGCUUUAGAGUACGUUGCAUGGCGAAGGCGCCCUCCUUGCUUACGAACGGGGCAUUGGGGUCCGAGAGAUAGUCAAUAUACUUCCUCGGGUGCGACGGGACGUCUGCGGCGGGACGACUAUGACAUUCGGCGGGACGACACCUUUUGUGAGUAGGGGGUCGUCCCAAAAAGAGAAAAGUGAGGGGAGUGUAGUGCCAGUGACAUCUGGUGCCACGCCCCUAUGCAGAGUUGGUACCCGGCUUGCGUCGUUCAUGUGACGGGACCAUGCUGCAUGAUGUGGAGCCAAUCGGAUGGACGCAAAUGCCUGAUGGGAUGACCAUGCUCUCUUGCUACCCGGUCCGCGAACGUGUGCAGACGUGUUCCCUGAGGUAAGUAUUGCCAGGAAGAUAGAUGCCCUGAGGUAAGUAUUUCCAGGAGGAGCAUAAGUGUAAACCUGUGACGUAAGUAUUAGCCUGUGACUUAGUGUCUUGCCCUGGAGGUUUAGCCUGUGCGUGGGGUAGGUAUUCCCAGGAGGAUCGGUUGUCUGCAGCCGACGACGAUAGCGAACGAGCGUUUCCCUCGAAGAGUGUACUGCCGAGGACGACAGUGCCAUCCUGACAAGGUUUACAGUCGAUGCUCAUGUUGGGAAGUUAUAUUUCAAGACGCCGAGGAAGUGCGAGGUGUAUGGAAUCAGCUGGGAAGGAUCUGGAAAGCAGGUGUUUUACCUCGCAGACAAAGGCCAGUCACAUGGUAAAGGUGCAAAUGCUGUGGUCAGCCAGGUUCACCACUACCUCAACACAAACAGUUUUGGAGAACAGCAUGCUCACUUUCAGUGUGACAAAUGUUGCGGCCAAAAUAAAAACAACAUAGUCAUCUGGUACCUUCUGUGGAGAGUUCUUGUAGAUGCUGAAGAUCAAAACUACGCAUUUGAUUUGAAACAGAUUCACAAGACCCAUAGGAAUCAAAAUGCCUUAACCCUUUACCAAACAACACAUUUUGGACUUUCCCAAUUUGAAAGACGCUGCAGACGUCAAUUGAAUUAAAAUGGAAUAUGAAGGAAAUGAUCAGAAACUUCAAUGCACAAUUGCUGUCUGAUGUCGCUGCGUCUGUGGGGUUAUCGUCAAGGACGGGCCACAACAUCCGCCAGCUUGUGGGGGACACUUCCAAUCCUGUUGUUUUCUAAGACAGGAAGGAUUACCUUUCAACAUUGUUUCACCCCAUAAAGGAUGUCACCAAAUUGAAUCAAUUCCAUGUGUCAGCGGAUCAUCCCGGUGUUGUUGAGUGCAGGGAAUUUAGGGACUCACCAGUAGUCAGAAUCACUCUCAGGAAGGUCUCGGAAGUGAAUGUUAAUGUGAGCUGUGACAACCUGCCAUAAGAAAUGUUUGCGAAAGGGCUUGAUCUGGACCAUCUGACUGUGGUAUUUAUUUGAAAACAUUCGAGAAUUUUGUUGCACAGAUGAACCAAAAAACUUGCCAUGUCCGAAACGCGCUACUGGUGAGCGACAAAAUACAGACUGUGCCCCCCAAAAAAGAACAUGCAUUAAGAUGCGCAUCUGAUCUUCUCUGAUAAUGCCACAACAAUUACAUACAUCAUGUAUCAGUGUUUAUUUUGGCCAAGGUAUUGGGUGAUAUAUUUUGCCCAAAACAGUGCAAAAAAUCCUCUACUCCUAGGAAAGCUAAAACAUGUAUACGAGUGCUAAAUGUGUCAGUUGAUACAGGUUUUGAAAUGUUCAAAACAAACGUUUGUUGUUCUAAUUGCAUAAGCAUGUUUUCAAGUUUUUUAUAUCUCAUACUUACAAAACAAAAAUAUUUUUUUCCAUGUUACCAUGCAACUGUUUUCACCUUAUGGACACAGACUGCCUUUCCGAAAAACUGGAAAAAAAAUCAGUGUGAAUAUUGUAUUUAUUUUUGUUUUACAAUGAAAAUCCUAUAUUUUUGUUUGUUUGCUACAUUGUUUCCAUAGUAACAAAAACAAACAAUUUUGAUAUAUAAGUUAUUGUUUAUUUUGUCUAUUUUUCUAUAUCAGAAAUAAUGAUAAAUAAUGAUUAUUUCAUAUACUGAAACAUUGAGUAUCCAAGUGUACUUUUAACCAACACUUUUAAUGCUGUUUUUUUCCAUUCUGUUGUUUUUGAGGUUACAUUAUACUUAAAUACACACGUAACUGAUUAAAAAAGGAAAUUGUUCAUGGAACUCACAAAUUAUUGAUUGUUAUUGUUUUACUAGUUACAAAACAGUGAAAUUAAUGUUGUGUUUGCCUUUAAACAAACACAUGAUUGAAAAUACAAUUCAUAUAUUUAUAAAAGGUGUGAUUGUGUGCUCUGGUGAUUAUUAACAUGUAGAUCGGUUACCAUAGCAACACAAAUGAUACAUUUUAAAUGUCCAUAAUGCUGUUGUCAGUUUAUUGCACUAUAAUUAUUUAUUUGACUAAAGGAAAGAGUAUUGUUUUAAUAAAACAAUGUGCUUGUUUUUUUGAAUGUUUUGGUUGUUUUUUUGUUUUAAAUGAUAACUUUUAGUGACGGAAAAAUGUAGGGUUGGUCACUUUGGAAGGUCAUAAAAUUAGAUUUGAAUAUGAUAAAUCAAAAAAUCUAUAUCAUUUUUGUGAACUACAAUGUUUAGAGAAUCCAAAAUUGCCCAAAAGUCAAAAUGUGAUUUUUUGAACACAAGACUGAUUUUCCCAGCAUUGGUCAUAUAUUAUA
This is a long non-coding RNA of Dreissena polymorpha, 4438 nucleotides long. RefSeq lists it as uncharacterized. The record is from RefSeq and is a predicted model, not a curated record. NCBI's taxonomy places the organism in Eukaryota, Metazoa, Mollusca, Bivalvia, Myida, Dreissenidae. The transcript is spliced from 5 exons.